RNAcentral lists this ribosomal RNA (229 nucleotides) under uncultured bacterium. Its description in RNAcentral is "partial 16S ribosomal RNA". It matches the Rfam family "Bacterial small subunit ribosomal RNA", at positions 568 to 796 of the family's 1533-position model. The record is from RNAcentral.
UCCGUAGGUGGAUAAUUAAGUCAGAGGUGAAAUCCUGCAGCUCAACUGUAGAAUUGCCUUUGAUACUGGUUAUCUUGAGUUAUUAUGAAGUAGUUAGAAUAUGUAGUGUAGCGGUGAAAUGCAUAGAUAUUACAUAGAAUACCAAUUGCGAAGGCAGAUUACUAAUAAUCAACUGACACUGAUGGACGAAAGCGUGGGGAGCGAACAGGAUUAGGUACCCUGGUAGUCC